GACGAACGCUGGCGGCGUGCUUAACACAUGCAAGUCGAACGGAAAGGCCCUGCUUUUGUGGGGUGCUCGAGUGGCGAACGGGUGAGUAACACGUGAGUAACCUGCCCUUGACUUUGGGAUAACUUCAGGAAACUGGGGCUAAUACCGGAUAGGAGCUCCUGCUGCAUGGUGGGGGUUGGAAAGUUUCGGCGGUUGGGGAUGGACUCGCGGCUUAUCAGCUUGUUGGUGGGGUAGUGGCUUACCAAGGCUUUGACGGGUAGCCGGCCUGAGAGGGUGACCGGCCACAUUGGGACUGAGAUACGGCCCAGACUCCUACGGGAGGCAGCAGUGGGGAAUAUUGCACAAUGGGCGGAAGCCUGAUGCAGCAACGCCGCGUGCGGGAUGACGGCCUUCGGGUUGUAAACCGCUUUCGCCUGUGACGAAGCGUGAGUGACGGUAAUGGGUAAAGAAGCACCGGCUAACUACGUGCCAGCAGCCGCGGUGAUACGUAGGGUGCGAGCGUUGUCCGGAUUUAUUGGGCGUAAAGGGCUCGUAGGUGGUUGAUCGCGUCGGAAGUGUAAUCUUGGGGCUUAACCCUGAGCGUGCUUUCGAUACGGGUUGACUUGAGGAAGGUAGGGGAGAAUGGAAUUCCUGGUGGAGCGGUGGAAUGCGCAGAUAUCAGGAGGAACACCAGUGGCGAAGGCGGUUCUCUGGGCCUUUCCUGACGCUGAGGAGCGAAAGCGUGGGGAGCGAACAGGCUUAGAUACCCUGGUAGUCCACGCUGUAAACGGUGGGUACUAGGUGUGGGGUCCAUUCCACGGGUUCCGUGCCGUAGCUAACGCUUUAAGUACCCCGCCUGGGGAGUACGGCCGCAAGGCUAAAACUCAAAGGAAUUGACGGGGCCCCGCACAAGCGGCGGAGCAUGCGGAUUAAUUCGAUGCAACGCGUAGAACCUUACCUGGGUUUGACAUGGAUCGGGAGUGCUCAGAGAUGGGUGUGCCUCUUUUGGGGUCGGUUCACAGGUGGUGCAUGCCUGUCGUCAGCUCGUGUCGUGAGAUGUUGGGUUAAGUCCCGCAACGAGCGCAACCCUUGUACACUGUUGCCAGCACGUUAUGGUGGGGACUCAGUGGAGACCGCCGGGGUCAACUCGGAGGAAGGUGGGGAUGACGUCAAGUCCUCAUGCCCCUUAUGUCCAGGGCUUCACGCAUGCUACAAUGGCUGGUACAGAGAGUGGCGAGCCUGUGAGGGUGAGCGAAUCUCGGAAAGCCGGUCUCAGUUCGGAUUGGGGUCUGCAACUCGACCUCAUGAAGUCGGAGUCGCUAGUGAUCGCAGAUCAGCAACGCUGCGGUGAAUACGUUCCCGGG
RNAcentral lists this ribosomal RNA (1343 nucleotides) under uncultured bacterium. RNAcentral describes it as "16S ribosomal RNA". It matches the Rfam family "Bacterial small subunit ribosomal RNA", at positions 28 to 1378 of the family's 1533-position model. The record is from RNAcentral.